AAUAUAACUUUCAGCAACGGAUCUCUUGGCUCUCGCAUCGAUGAAGAACGCAGCGAAUCGCGAUAAGUAAUGUGAAUUGCAGAUUUUCCGUGAAUCAUCGAAUCUUUGAACGCACCUUGCGCUCCUCGGUAUUCCGAGGAGCAUGCCUGUUUGAGUGUCAUCGAAAUCUCAAAUCCCGGUCCGGGGGUU
This 189-nucleotide ribosomal RNA is filed under the name Astraeus hygrometricus. Its description in RNAcentral is "5.8 ribosomal RNA". The stretch from base 6 to 160 matches the Rfam family "5.8S ribosomal RNA". From Rfam's summary of the family: 5.8S ribosomal RNA (5.8S rRNA) is a component of the large subunit of the eukaryotic ribosome. It is transcribed by RNA polymerase I as part of the 45S precursor that also contains 18S and 28S rRNA. The record is from RNAcentral. Lineage: Eukaryota; Fungi; Basidiomycota; Agaricomycetes; Boletales; Astraeaceae.